GACGAACGCUGGCGGUGUGCUUAACACAUGCAAGUCGAACGGAAAGGCCCUGCUUUUGUGGGGUGCUCGAGUGGCGAACGGGUGAGUAACACGUGAGUAACCUGCCCUUGACUUUGGGAUAACUCCAGGAAACUGGGGCUAAUACCGGAUAGGAGCUCCUGCUGCAUGGUGGGGGUUGGAAAGUUUCGGCGGUUGGGGAUGGACUCGCGGCUUAUCAGCUUGUUGGUGGGGUAGUGGCUUACCAAGGCUUUGACGGGUAGCCGGCCUGAGAGGGUGACCGGCCACAUUGGGACUGAGAUACGGCCCAGACUCCUACGGGAGGCAGCAGUGGGGAAUAUUGCACAAUGGGCGGAAGCCUGAUGCAGCAACGCCGCGUGCGGGAUGACGGCCUUCGGGUUGUAAACCGCUUUCGCCUGUGACGAAGCGUGAGUGACGGUAAUGGGUAAAGAAGCACCGGCUAACUACGUG
Molecule: ribosomal RNA, 468 nt
Filed under: uncultured bacterium
Lineage: Bacteria
Description: partial 16S ribosomal RNA
Rfam family: Bacterial small subunit ribosomal RNA
Source: RNAcentral